GAGAUACUAGUAAAACCAAUUACACUGCCUUGUCGAGGCAGAAUUGUGGGUUAAAUCCCCGCGUGUCUU
This 69-nucleotide transfer RNA is filed under the name Mene maculata. Its description in RNAcentral is "tRNA-Asp". It matches the Rfam family "tRNA". Rfam says of the family: Transfer RNA (tRNA) molecules are approximately 80 nucleotides in length. The record is from RNAcentral. Lineage: Eukaryota; Metazoa; Chordata; Actinopteri; Menidae.